RNAcentral lists this ribosomal RNA (253 nucleotides) under uncultured bacterium. RNAcentral's name for it is "partial 16S ribosomal RNA". It matches the Rfam family "Bacterial small subunit ribosomal RNA", at positions 524 to 776 of the family's 1533-position model. The record is from RNAcentral.
UACAGCGGGUGCGAGCGUUGUCCGGAAUCACUGGGCGUAAAGGGCGCGUAGGCGGCUUUGCAAGUCGGGUGUGAAAUCCCCAGGCUUAACCUGGGAACUGCAUUCGAGACUGCAUCGCUAGAGUAUCGGAGAGGGAAGUGGAAUUUCAGGUGUAGCGGUGAAAUGCGUAGAUAUCUGAAGGAACAUCAGUGGCGAAAGCGACUUCCUGGACGAAUACUGACGCUCAUGUGCGAAAGCGUGGGGAGCAAACAGG